RNAcentral lists this unclassified non-coding RNA (335 nucleotides) under soil metagenome. RNAcentral's name for it is "partial contains 5.8S ribosomal RNA, internal transcribed spacer 2, and large subunit ribosomal RNA". The stretch from base 1 to 120 matches the Rfam family "5.8S ribosomal RNA", at positions 35 to 154 of the family's 154-position model. The record is from RNAcentral.
GAUGAAGAACGCAGUGAAAUGCGAUACGUAAUGUGAAUUGCAGAUUUCAGUGAAUCAUCGAAUCUUUGAACGCACAUUGCGCCCGCUAGUAUUCUGGCGGGCAUGCCUGUUCGAGCGUCAUUUCAACCAUCAAGCCCUGUGCUUGUGUUGGAGCCCUGCGGCUGCCGCAGGCUCCCAAACCCAGUGGCGGGCUCGUCGUCGUACCGAGUGCAGUAAACAUACCACGCUCAGGGCACGCGACGGGUGACCGGCCGUAAAACCCCCCCCCUUCUCAAGGUUGACCUCGGAUCAGGUAGGAAUACCCGCUGAACUUAAGCAUAUCAAUAAGCGGAGGA